GAUGAACGCUGGCGGCGUGCUUAACACAUGCAAGUCGAACGGAAAGGCCGAAGCUUGCUUCGGUACUCGAGUGGCGAACGGGUGAGUAACACGUGGGUGAUCUGCCCUGUACUUCGGGAUAAGCUUGGGAAACUGGGUCUAAUACCGGAUAUGACGAUCUCUUGGAUGGGGUUGUGGAAAGCUUUUGCGGUAUGGGAUGAGCUCGCGGCCUAUCAGCUUGUUGGUGGGGUAAUGGCCUACCAAGGCGUCGACGGGUAGCCGGCCUGAGAGGGUGUACGGCCACAUUGGGACUGGGAUACGGCCCAGACUCCGACGGGAGGCAGCAGUGGGGAAUAUUGCACAAUGGGCGCAAGCCUGAUGCAGCGACGCCGCGUGGGGGAUGACGGCCUUCGGGUUGUAAACUCCUUUCGCAAUCGACGAAGCCUUUUGGUGACGGUAGGUUGAGAAGAAGCACCGGCUAACUACGUG
RNAcentral lists this ribosomal RNA (468 nucleotides) under uncultured bacterium. RNAcentral's name for it is "partial 16S ribosomal RNA". It matches the Rfam family "Bacterial small subunit ribosomal RNA", at positions 28 to 507 of the family's 1533-position model. The record is from RNAcentral.